This 48-nucleotide non-coding RNA is filed under the name Trypanosoma brucei brucei. The record is from RNAcentral. Lineage: Eukaryota; Euglenozoa; Kinetoplastea; Trypanosomatida; Trypanosomatidae.
AUAAAAUAGAAUCAGAGACAUCAUGACUCAGUGUGAUAUGUAAUUAUA